AUGCGGAUCUCCACCCGCCGGCGCCUGACCUUAGCGCCGGGGUGGUCCGCUCCGGUGCCGGCCGGAUCUGGAUCGCGAUUUUCUUGCCUCCGUGCUGAUGACGGAGGUGAGGACUCCUCGACGGCCGAGACCUCCGAGGCAUCGCGCCGGCGUAAGACUGACGAGGAGCUGGCCGCCGAGUUUUGGGCCGACAUUGGGUAUCCUACAUCAGCCUCACGAGUAUGGGGGAGACCGUCUUCUAGGCGAGGAUCUGCUCAGAAGGAUUGUGCACAAGAGAGUCUCUCCAUCUCGUACUCCGGGAGAUGCCAUGCCCUCGGCCGGCUUGGCGAGGACGGCGGUGAUCACGCCGACGACGCCUCCGAUGUUUCCUGCGACGGGCGUUUCGCCGGACGAGUCGGGGCGGUCGAUGGGCCUGGGCCCUCACCCAAUCUCAGGGACACUCCUCGCAGAAACCCUAAUCUUCCUCGAUCCUUCGUGGCUGCCGUCUGCUCAGGGAUGGGUCGCGACGCGUCCGCGCCGCCGGGCUCUGGGCAGGUCCGACCUGCAACCGCCGCACCGAUGCCCUCGGAAGCCUCCUCGUCUGGUGGCGCCCCUGGCUUCGCACCUGGGGUGUUCCCCCCGGUGAUCCCUUCUUCCUCCGCUCAAAGUGUCAUGCCGAACCUUCCCCAACAGACUCCAGCACCGGGGCAGCAGCAACAACAGAUGUAUCAAAUGCCGCAGCAGUUCUUUCAGCAGCAACCGAUGUAUCAUGCGCCGCCGGGGUACAUGCAGCAAAUGGCGCCGGUGUACUCAUAUCAACCAGCUGGCCCUUUCUUGCAACAGAGCCAUGGUCACCCCACUGCUGUCCAGCCAAUGGCCUUUAACGCUGGUCUGGCAAACUCGGCGGCCGGAGUUCAGACAGGGAAUAUCCGUCCUAGGAAACCGAAGGGAGGAAAAGGAAAUCGGCCUAAGAACUGUGCGGGAAACGCCCCGAUCAUCGCUGCUCCACCCACCUUGCAUCAUGGCAUACAAGGUGCUCCGGCUUUUGUCUCGGGGCCUCUUGUGACUGCUGCUCCUCUUAUGGCAACGGCUCAACAACAACAUGAUGUGGCUCAGGCGGCACCUGCUCCCGGGGUGAACACGGUAAUGACCAAGUUAUGGUGUACCAAGUGUCAGUCGGUCGGACAUGUGGCUUCAGAUUGUGAAACACAGCAGUAUUGUUUCAUCUGUAGCAAGGCGAACCAUCCGAUGACUACUCGGCGGUGUCCAGCUCUCAAGAUGCCGAAGCCGGCGGCGAUGCUUUGUGGCUAUGGGACUGAGAGCAUGGCCUUCUUUCAGAUGCCUGACAAUGUUUGCAGGGCAGACCUUGCACCACAAUCCUCCCCAACGGCUCUUGUUUCGAUCUCGGGAGGCUCUAUCUCUUCGAGCAUUGUGGAGGCGGAGGUUGCUAAGAUCGCUCAAUAUCAGCAACAGUGGACGUGGGAGGCUAUCCCUCAUGGCCAGAAUGCUUUUGUCAUGUCUUUCCCCAGUGACGAGGUGCUCCUGAGAGUUACUGGUUUCACGGUCUUCAUCAAAUCGCAUAAUGUCACUUUGGAGUUCAAGGCUUGUCAUUCCGAGGAGAUUCCGAAUCGUUUUGAGCUUAUUCCAGUUUGGGUGCAUGUACACGGAGUUCCUCACGCUCUCCGGCAUUUCUUGGGUCUCUGGGCAGUUGGCUCUGUUAUUGGCACCACUCUUGAUGUCGACCUCCUUUGCUUGCGCCGCCGUGGUAUUGUGAGGAUUCAGGUUGGCGUGCUUAAUCUUGAUGCUUUUAAGAUGAGCCCUGUCAACUCCCUCUCGUCGGAUGUGGUUGUUCAGAAGAAGGGCUAUGAAUUCCGGUACACUCUAGAAGAUGAUGAUUUCCGUGUGGACGCUGAUUUUGUGCCUCGCGUUUGGGAGCAUGGCGAUGAUACGGAAGGGGACAAGGAGCAUGAUCGAGAGGACACUUCAAGGGCUGAUGACAAGAGCAAGAGGCUGAAAGCGUCUUCGUCGUCAGCUAACACGGCGGCAUCAUCUUCCUUUGGAGGAGUGGUUCCGAUGCAAAUCACCUCUUCCACGACCGUUCCUGCCAGUACACAUCCAUGCUUGGCAUCGCGGCCUUUGUCGGGGGACCCGCCAGCGGCAACGGAGCUCGUGCCGCCCCAGAACCCUCCCUCGCUUGCCAGCUCUGCACCGCCUCCACCACCUCAACCGGAUGCUUCACCCAUCCUUGGUAUUUCAUUAGAUAGAAAUGAUGCAGUAGUUGAUUUCUCAGUUAAAGCUCUUAAGCAAAUGGAGUUCGACCGGCUUACGGUUGCUCCUAAAACGCUUCUGACGGUGGAUCCACUAGUAUCAGAUGAGGAGGAUGAGGAGUCCGAUGCCAACCAUGAAGGCAGACUCCUCUCUCAUCUGGUCAAUGAUACUACAGAGGUAGACUUUGAAGAUACCAUGCGUGAUACGAUGCUUUGUGAGCUCGUUGCAUCGGUAUAGCAUGUUGUCAACUCAGAAGGUGCACUCGAGUUCCCCUUGUUUCACACCGACCACCCAUGCGUUCAACAACAUCGUGGUCGUCCGAUGUCAACUGAAAGCAUCACUGAAACUGAUGAUACGGACCUGCCCAUUGACUUGAUACGGAAUGACAGCAUAAACGACUUUGCCUUUCUAAUGCCCGUCCAGCUGGGCGCGCCACCGGUCUGGAACCUCGUGGCAGUUGACACUGGAUCUCCACUCUGCUUUGUUCAAUGUAGACCUUGCACCCUCUGGUGCAACGAUCAAGAGGGUGCUGGCCAGAUAUUCGAUCCCAAGAAGUCCAAGAGUUUCAGGCGUAUUGGGUGCUCGGCGAAAGCCUGCCGCGCACUUCAGUCGCGGCUGCGUCUGCCGUUCAAAGCAUGCAUGGAGAAAGAGGAUAGCUGCCUUUACAGUGCGUCAUACGGGAAAGGAUCCUAUUAUUCAGUCGGCAAGCUGGUGGCAGACACAAUCUCCAUUGGGCGUGAUGGCAAGGGAUACAGUAUUCCCAGCUUCAUCUUCGGCUGCAGCUUGGACAUCGAGUAUGAUCAGGGCGAGGCCGGCAUAUUCGGGUUCGGUGCCGCGCCGUCUUCUUUCUUCUCACAGGUAGUACGGGUGGUUAACUAUCGGGCAUUCAGGUACUGUUUUCCGAGUGACAGAAAGAAGACUGGAUAUUUGUCCAUCGGGGAUUACAACCGUGACAAUUCUACUUCUUACACCCCCUUGUUCGUGGCUCAUCAACGGCCGGUGUUUGCACUGACGCUGGAUAAGGUGGUGGUCGAUGGGAUCACGCUCAUCACAGACCCCUCAGAAAUGAUGGUUGACACUGGGGCAAAAUGGACGGUGCCGCGGUCUGAUACCUUCAGCCAACUUGAGACGGUAAUCUCCAAGGCUUUGGGAACUUUGGGAUAUAAGCGCACCCUUGUUCUGGGACCAAAUCAUAUGUGCUAUGAGGAGGACUUAUUCACAGUGUUCCGCAAUUGGUCCGCUUUGCCUGUGGUACAGCUUUCGUUCGACAUGGCUGCGAAACUUACAUUGGCACCCGAGAGCUCAUUUCAUUUUACAAGCAGUCAUGGACUAUGCACGUAUUUCAUGAGAGAUGCUGGCAUGGGGAAAGCAGAGAAGGUUAGUAGCAGAAGGUUCUUAGCUUGUGCAGAGAAGAUGAGCCUAGCUAGGAUUUGGGGCAUGUAUGAGGAUGAGAACAAGCUGAGGCUGAGGCACAAUGUAGUUAAUGCUGAAGAAAAUAUUAAGAUCCUCGGAGAGAAGAAAAAGAUGGAAAAAGAGUUGAGGUUUCUUAAGGUUGAUUUUGCUAAAAUGGUGACUGAUAAAGAGCAGGCAUUGGCCCAACUAGGCAACACACAGCUUGCUCUGACAGACUUGAAGCAAGAACUUGAGAAGAAGAAAUUUUGUGACAAAUCUGUCACAAAUAUUCAUCAGGUUAUGAGGGCCAAGACAGAGAAAGAGAGGGACUUGAUGCAGCAGGAGAGGGACAAAUUAAUGGAAGAGGGACAGUUUGGUGUUGUAGAGAGAUCAGCUAAGCAAGAUAAAAAAGAAGUUGAAGUACAUGAUAGGUGA
Molecule: ribosomal RNA, 4074 nt
Filed under: Triticum aestivum (bread wheat)
Lineage: Eukaryota; Viridiplantae; Streptophyta; Magnoliopsida; Poales; Poaceae
Description: partial small subunit ribosomal RNA
Source: RNAcentral